UACUGAUGAUAGUAAGGUUAAUUUCUGAGCAUACCCUUAAAUCUCUCCCAAGCUUGGUAGAGAUUCUUUCCUUCUUUCUAUUUGAAACUCAAGAUCUCACUCCUCAAGUA
Small nucleolar RNA from Capsicum annuum, 110 nucleotides. The record is from RefSeq and is a predicted model, not a curated record. Lineage: Eukaryota; Viridiplantae; Streptophyta; Magnoliopsida; Solanales; Solanaceae.